UGGCUCACGUUGAACGCUAGCGGCAGGCUUAACACAUGCAAGUCGAGGGGCAGCGGGGAGGAAGCUUGCUUUCUCCGCCGGCGACCGGCGCACGGGUGAGUAACACGUAUGCAACCUGCCCCUGUCAGGGGGACAACCCGCCGAAAGGCGGGCUAAACCCGCGUACAUGCCACCGGGGCAUCCCGGAGGCAGGAAAGGCUUCGGCCGGACAGGGAUGGGCAUGCGGCGCAUUAGGCAGUAGGCGGGGUAACGGCCCACCUAACCGACGAUGCGUAGGGGUUCUGAGAGGAAGGUCCCCCACACUGGUACUGAGACACGGACCAGACUCCUACGGGAGGCAGCAGUGAGGAAUAUUGGUCAAUGGUCGGGAGACUGAACCAGCCAAGCCGCGUGAGGGAUGAAGGUACAGAGUAUCGUACACCUCUUUUGUCAGGGAACAAAGGCGGGGACGUGUCCCCGGAUGAGUGUACCUGAAGAAAAAGCAUCGGCUAACUCCGUGCCAGCAGCCGCGGUAAUAAGGAGGGUGAGAGCGUUAUCCGGAUUUAUUGGGUUGAAAGGGUGCGCAGGCGGUCUGUUAAGUCAGCGGUCAAAGCCCGGGGCUCAACCCCGGCCCGCCGUUGAAACUGGCAGUCUCGAGUUGGAGAGUAGUAUGCGGAAUGCGCGGUGUAGCGGUGAAAUGCAUAGAUAUCGCGCAGAACUCCGAUUGCGAAGGCAGCAUGCCGGCUCCACACUGACGCUGAGGCACGAAAGCGUGGGUAUCGAACAGGAUUAGAUACCCUGGUAGUCCACGCAGUAAACGAUGAAUGCUGGCGGUCCGGGGGGGAUUGACCCCUGGGUGGCGAAGCGAAAGCGAUAAGCAUUCCACCUGGGGAGUACGCCGGCAACGGUGAAACUCAAAGGAAUUGACGGGGGCCCGCACAAGCGGAGGAACAUGUGGUUUAAUUCGAUGAUACGCGAGGAACCUUACCCGGGCUCAAACGGGGAGUGACUCAGGCAGAGACGCCUGUUUCCCACGGGACACUCCCCGAGGUGCUGCAUGGUUGUCGUCAGCUCGUGCCGUGAGGUGUCGGCUUAAGUGCCAUAACGAGCGCAACCCCCGCGUGCAGUUGCUAACAGAUAACGCUGAGGACUCUGCACGGACUGCCGGCGCAAGCCGCGAGGAAGGCGGGGAUGACGUCAAAUCAGCACGGCCCUUACGUCCGGGGCGACACACGUGUUACAAUUGGUGGUACAGCGGGAAGCCAGGCGGCGACGCCGAGCGGAACCCGAAAUCCACUCUCAGUUCGGAUCGGAGUCUGCAACCCGACUCCGUGAAGCUGGAUUCGCUAGUAAUCGCGCAUCAGCCAUGGCGCGGUGAAUACGUUCCCGGGCCUUGUACACACCGCCCGUCAAGCCAUGGGAGCCGAGGGCGCUUGAAGUGCGUCGCCGCGAGGCGCGCCCUAGAGCGAAAUCGGUGACUGGGGCUAAGUCGUAACAAGGUAACCG
This 1485-nucleotide ribosomal RNA is filed under the name uncultured bacterium. RNAcentral describes it as "16S ribosomal RNA". It matches the Rfam family "Bacterial small subunit ribosomal RNA". The record is from RNAcentral.